AUUGAACGCUGGCGGCAGGCUUAACACAUGCAAGUCGAGCGGAGUGAUGGUGCUUGCACUAUCACUUAGCGGCGGACGGGUGAGUAAUGCUUAGGAAUCUGCCUAUUAGUGGGGGACAACAUCUCGAACGGGAUGCUAAUACCGCAUACGUCCUACGGGACAAAGCAGGGGAUCACUUGUGACCUUGCGCUAAUAGAUGAGCCUAAGUUGGAUUAGCUAGGUGGGGGGGUAAAGGCCUACCAAGGCGACGAUCUGUAGCGGGUCUGAGAGGAGGAUCCGCCACAAUGGGGCGGAGACACGGCCCAGACUCCUAGGGGAGGCAGCAGUGGGGAAUAUUGGACGAUGGGGGGAACCCUGAUCAAGCCAUGCCGCGUGUGUGAAGAAGGCCUUAUGGUUGUAAAGCACUUUAAGCGAGGAGGAGGCUCUUUUGGUUAAUACCCAAGAUGAGUGGACGUUACUCGCAGAAGAAGCACCGGCUAACUCUGUGCCAGCAGCCGCGGUAA
RNAcentral lists this ribosomal RNA (503 nucleotides) under uncultured bacterium. RNAcentral describes it as "partial 16S ribosomal RNA". It matches the Rfam family "Bacterial small subunit ribosomal RNA", at positions 30 to 523 of the family's 1533-position model. The record is from RNAcentral.